GAUGAACGCUGGCGGCGUGCCUAAUACAUGCAAGUCGAGCGAACAGACGAGGAGCUUGCUCCUCUGACGUUAGCGGCGGACGGGUGAGCAACACGUGGAUAACCUACCUAUAAGACUGGGAUAACUUCGGGAAACCGGAUCUAAUACCGGAUCAUAUAUUGAACCGCAUGGUUCAAUAGUGAAAGACGGUUUUGCUGUCACUUAUAGAUGUAUCCGCGCCGCAUUAGCUAGUUGGUAAGGUAACGGCUUACCAAGGCAACGAUGCGUAGCCGACCUGAGAGGGUGAUCGGCCACACUGGAACUGAGACACGGUCCAGACUCCUACGGGAGGCAGCAGUAGGGAAUCUUCCGCAAUGGGCGAAAGCCUGACGGAGCAACGCCGCGUGAGUGAUGAAGGUCUUCGGAUCGUAAAACUCUGUUAUUAGGGAAGAACAAAUGUGUAAGUAACUAUGCACGUCUUGACGGUACCUAAUCAGAAAGCCACGGCUAACUACGUG
Molecule: ribosomal RNA, 497 nt
Filed under: uncultured bacterium
Lineage: Bacteria
Description: partial 16S ribosomal RNA
Rfam family: Bacterial small subunit ribosomal RNA
Source: RNAcentral